Molecule: long non-coding RNA, 272 nt
Filed under: Sorghum bicolor (sorghum)
Lineage: Eukaryota; Viridiplantae; Streptophyta; Magnoliopsida; Poales; Poaceae
Description: long non-coding RNA (SBIC_LNC014367)
Source: RNAcentral
CGAUUCUCGUGAUCUUUACGUCUGUGAGAUCGUAGCGAUGCGUAGAAUCAUUUUAUAAGCUUUUCUUACUGUUUUUAUAUGAUUGGUGUACUGUUCUAAUUGUAGCCUUGUUUGCUUCGUGUAUGUUUGGCCUCGAUUGUUUGUAUGUUGAUGAUCGAUGAUCGGAAUUAGAUGGUAAACAAUUCGUGGUGAACAAGAGUACUUCAUUGAACAAGAUCAGAGCCUUGGACAACUAGCAGGAUCAGCAAGAGCAAAUGGAUUAAGGCAAGUAU